Molecule: ribosomal RNA, 440 nt
Filed under: Phyllactinia roboris
Lineage: Eukaryota; Fungi; Ascomycota; Leotiomycetes; Helotiales; Erysiphaceae
Description: eukaryotic LSU rRNA
Rfam family: Eukaryotic large subunit ribosomal RNA
Source: RNAcentral
CAGGACGUCAUAGAGGGUGAGAAUCCCGUAUGCGGCCGGCGUCGACGCCCGUGUAAAGCUCUUUCGACGAGUCGAGUUGUUUGGGAAUGCAGCUCAAAAUGGGUGGUAAAUUUCAUCUAAAGCUAAAUAUGGGCCAGAGACCGAUAGCGCACAAGUAGAGUGAUCGAAAGAUGAAAAGCACUUUGGAAAGAGAGUUAAACAGUACGUGAAAUUGUUGAAAGGGAAGCGCUUGCAACCAGACUUGGGCGUCGCUGAUCAUCCAAAGUUCUCUUUGGUGCACUCGACGACGUACAGGCCAGCAUCGGUUGGGGUGGUGGGAGAAAGGUUGUUGGAACGUGGCUCUUUUCGGAGAGUGUUAUAGCCUGCAACGCAAUACCGCCUACCCCGACCGAGGACCGCGCUUCGGCUAGGAUGCUGGCGUAAUGGUUGUAAGCGACCCG